RNAcentral lists this long non-coding RNA (227 nucleotides) under Ananas comosus (pineapple). Its description in RNAcentral is "long non-coding RNA (ACOM_LNC007190)". The record is from RNAcentral. Lineage: Eukaryota; Viridiplantae; Streptophyta; Magnoliopsida; Poales; Bromeliaceae.
AAAAAAGAAUUUUUCAUAAAAUCUCGAAAAUAGUUUUGAAAGACGAAUUCUCGCCCUUCGCGUGAGAUUAACCGAAAAUAUUACCCUAAUGUAUGUACGACUAAACUCCUCAUCCUAUGAGCAUGAACACAAAAGAGGUUGACGGAUAAAAGUUCAAUACCCGAUGAUAAAAUGAUCAAAUAAAGUGUGAAAAAAUAGUAAAAGAAAAAAUAAAAAUUAACUCUUGA